RNAcentral lists this ribosomal RNA (253 nucleotides) under uncultured bacterium. RNAcentral describes it as "partial 16S ribosomal RNA". It matches the Rfam family "Bacterial small subunit ribosomal RNA", at positions 524 to 776 of the family's 1533-position model. The record is from RNAcentral.
UACGUAGGGGGCAAGCGUUGUCCGGAAUCAUUGGGCGUAAAGCGCGCGUAGGCGGCCCGGUAAGUCCGCUGUGAAAGUCCAGGGCUCAACCCUGGAAAGCCGGUGGAUACUGCCGGGCUAGAGUCCGGAAGAGGCGAGUGGAAUUCCUGGUGUAGCGGCGGAAUGCGCAGAUAUCAGGAGGAACACCAAUGGCGAAGGCAGCUCGCUGGGACGGUACUGACGCUGAGGCGCGAAAGCGUGGGGAGCAAACAGG